This 484-nucleotide ribosomal RNA is filed under the name uncultured bacterium. RNAcentral describes it as "partial 16S ribosomal RNA". It matches the Rfam family "Bacterial small subunit ribosomal RNA", at positions 30 to 507 of the family's 1533-position model. The record is from RNAcentral.
AUUGAACGCUGGCGGCAGGCCUAACACAUGCAAGUCGAGCGGAUGAAGGGAGCUUGCUCCUGGAUUCAGCGGCGGACGGGUGAGUAAUGCCUAGGAAUCUGCCUGGUAGUGGGGGAUAACGUCCGGAAACGGGCGCUAAUACCGCAUACGUCCUGAGGGAGAAAGUGGGGGAUCUUCGGACCUCACGCUAUCAGAUGAGCCUAGGUCGGAUUAGCUAGUUGGUGGGGUAAAGGCCUACCAAGGCGACGAUCCGUAACUGGUCUGAGAGGAUGAUCAGUCACACUGGAACUGGGACAGGGUCCAUAGUACUAAGGGAGGCAGCAGUGGGGAAUAUUGGACAAUGGGCGAAAGCCUUGUCCAGCCAUGCCGAGUGUGUGAAGAAGGUCUUCGGAGUGUAAAGCACUUUAAGUUGGGAGGAAGGGCAGUAAGUUAAUACCUUGCUGUUUUGACGUUACCAACAGAAGAAGCACCGGCUAACUUCGUG